CCUCCCACUUCAGCCUCCUGAGUAGCUGGAACUACAGGUAGAAGCACUUGAAAAAACAAUCAGGACCAACCUGUCUUUCCGUCUCCAAGAGAAGUUGAAUCAAGAUCUGGCAUUGAUCAUGAGAUCCUGGACAUAAUGUCAAUGCAAUCAUUGGACAAGUCUUUUGGGAUAUCUUGGGGAAGAGGAUGAGUAUAUUUUUCCCAGCAGCCAGGAAGGAAAUGAAUAUUUAUGAUCCAGUGUGCAGAUCAUGAUGCUGGCAAGGUUGCGGAGCAAAGGGAACACUUAUACA
RNAcentral lists this long non-coding RNA (289 nucleotides) under Homo sapiens (human). Its description in RNAcentral is "HSALNT0311189". Lineage: Eukaryota; Metazoa; Chordata; Mammalia; Primates; Hominidae. The record is from RNAcentral.